Molecule: ribosomal RNA, 253 nt
Filed under: uncultured bacterium
Lineage: Bacteria
Description: partial 16S ribosomal RNA
Rfam family: Bacterial small subunit ribosomal RNA
Source: RNAcentral
UACGUAGGCAGCAAGCGUUGUUCGGAGUUACUGGGCGUAAAGGGUGCGUAGGCGGCUUUUUAAGUUUGGUGUGAAAUCUCCCGGCUCAACUGGGAGGGUGCGCCGAACACUGAGAGGCUAGAGUGUGGGAGAGGAAAGUGGAAUUCCUGGUGUAGCGGUGAAAUGCGUAGAUAUCAGGAGGAACACCGGUGGUGUAAACGGCUUUCUGGACCAUAACUGACGCUGAUGCACGAAAGCGUGGGUAGCAAACAGG